This 253-nucleotide ribosomal RNA is filed under the name uncultured bacterium. RNAcentral's name for it is "partial 16S ribosomal RNA". It matches the Rfam family "Bacterial small subunit ribosomal RNA", at positions 524 to 776 of the family's 1533-position model. The record is from RNAcentral.
UACAGAGGUCCCAAGCGUUGUUCGGAUUCACUGGGCGUAAAGGGUGCGUAGGCGGUCGGGUAAGUCUGACGUGAAAUCUCCAAGCUCAACUUGGAAAUGGCGUCGGAUACUAUUCGGCUCGAGGAAUGGAGGGGAGACUGGAAUUCUCGGUGUAGCAGUGAAAUGCGUAGAUAUCGAGAGGAACACCAGUGGCGAAGGCGAGUCCCUGGACAUCUCCUGACGCUGAGGCACGAAAGCCAGGGGAGCAAACGGG